This 372-nucleotide ribosomal RNA is filed under the name uncultured bacterium. Its description in RNAcentral is "bacterial SSU rRNA". It matches the Rfam family "Bacterial small subunit ribosomal RNA", at positions 524 to 898 of the family's 1533-position model. The record is from RNAcentral.
UACGUAGGGGGCGAGCGUUGUCCGGAAUCACUGGGCGUAAAGCGCACGUAGGCGGUGCCGUAAGUCGGAUGUGAAAGCCCUCGGCUCAACCGGGGAACUGCAUUCGAUACUGCGGUGCUUGAGUGUCGGAGAGGGUGGCGGAAUUCCAGGUGUAGGAGUGAAAUCCGUAGAUAUCUGGAGGAACACCAGUGGCGAAGGCGGCCACCUGGCCGACAACUGACGCUGAGGUGCGAAAGCGUGGGGAUCAAACAGGAUUAGAUACCCUGGUAGUCCACGCUGUAAACGAUGGAUGCUAGGUGUCGGGGGUUUACCCUCGGUGCCGCAGUUAACGCGUUAAGCAUCCCGCCUGGGGAGCACGGUCGCAAGGCUGAA